Molecule: long non-coding RNA, 239 nt
Organism: Lontra canadensis (Northern American river otter)
Lineage: Eukaryota; Metazoa; Chordata; Mammalia; Carnivora; Mustelidae
Exons: 3
Source: RefSeq, a predicted model, not a curated record
AGGAAACAAGGGACCUCUUCUGUUACAUAAAAAAUGUUCUUGUAUGAAGACAUCAUGAGGGUUAAUUGAGUCUGACCUGGAAGAAAAUGCCUACAUGUUUAUAUGAAAAGGUCCAGGCUUUACAGUUACCAGUUCUGAGAGUGGGGAGACUUGGUUACCUGCCAUCGUGACACCCGUUUGGAACCCUGGAACUCUGGGACCGAUCGCAGCCACCAUGCCAAGCUCCUCACCCAACCCUU